GUUGAUCAUGAGUUUCUAUAUUUGAAGUGUUUCAUUUCUCUUAAGAAUGGCUGUUUUUUAUCUUCCAUCAUUAUGUAAUUAUAGCUUGAACUUAUUUUAGUAUGUGUUUGUUUCAGACUAUGUGAAUGUUUGAGAUUAUCGUCUCUAAUUACUAAGAACAAUUAUGUAUUGAAUUUGACUUAUUUCAAUGCAACCUUAUCCAACUUAGUCAGGCAUAUAUUUAUAUAAUUUAGCCUGAAACAUAUAUUCUAUAUCUGUUA
RNAcentral lists this long non-coding RNA (260 nucleotides) under Trifolium pratense (red clover). RNAcentral's name for it is "long non-coding RNA (TPRA_LNC009004)". Lineage: Eukaryota; Viridiplantae; Streptophyta; Magnoliopsida; Fabales; Fabaceae. The record is from RNAcentral.